This 253-nucleotide ribosomal RNA is filed under the name uncultured bacterium. RNAcentral's name for it is "partial 16S ribosomal RNA". It matches the Rfam family "Bacterial small subunit ribosomal RNA", at positions 524 to 776 of the family's 1533-position model. The record is from RNAcentral.
UACGUAGGGGGCAAGCGUUGUCCGGAUUUAUUGGGCGUAAAGAGCGUGUAGGCGGCUGGGUAGGUCCGUUGUGAAAACUCGAGGCUCAACCUCGAGACGCCGAUGGAAACCCUCCAGCUAGAGUCCGGAAGAGGAGAGUGGAAUUCCUGGUGUAGCGGUGAAAUGCGCAGAUAUCAGGAAGAACACCCGUGGCUAAGGCGGCUCUCUAGUACGGUACUGACGCUGAGGUGCGAAAGCGUGGGGAGCAAACAGG